RNAcentral lists this ribosomal RNA (1552 nucleotides) under Staphylococcus epidermidis. Its description in RNAcentral is "partial 23S ribosomal RNA". It matches the Rfam family "Bacterial large subunit ribosomal RNA", at positions 164 to 1717 of the family's 2925-position model. Lineage: Bacteria; Bacillati; Bacillota; Bacilli; Caryophanales; Staphylococcaceae. The record is from RNAcentral.
AUAGCAUGUCAGAAGGCAGACCCGGAGAACUGAAACAUCUUAGUACCCGGAGGAAGAGAAAGAAAAAUCGAUUCCCUGAGUAGCGGCGAGCGAAACGGGAAGAGCCCAAACCAACAAGCUUGCUUGUUGGGGUUGUAGGACACUCUAUACGGAGUUACAAAAGAACAUGUUAGACGAAUCAUCUGGAAAGAUGAAUCAAAGAAGGUAAUAAUCCUGUAGUCGAAAACAUAUUCUCUCUUGAGUGGAUCCUGAGUACGACGGAGCACGUGAAAUUCCGUCGGAAUCUGGGAGGACCAUCUCCUAAGGCUAAAUACUCUCUAGUGACCGAUAGUGAACCAGUACCGUGAGGGAAAGGUGAAAAGUACCCCGGAAGGGGAGUGAAAGAGAACUUGAAACCGUGUGCUUACAAGUAGUCAGAGCCCGUUAAUGGGUGAUGGCGUGCCUUUUGUAGAAUGAACCGGCGAGUUACGAUCUGAUGCAAGGUUAAGCAGCAAAUGUGGAGCCGCAGCGAAAGCGAGUCUGAAUAGGGCGUUGAGUAUUUGGUCGUAGACCCGAAACCAGGUGAUCUACCCUUGGUCAGGUUGAAGUUCAGGUAACACUGAAUGGAGGACCGAACCGACUUACGUUGAAAAGUGAGCGGAUGAACUGAGGGUAGCGGAGAAAUUCCAAUCGAACUUGGAGAUAGCUGGUUCUCUCCGAAAUAGCUUUAGGGCUAGCCUCAAGUGAUGAUUAUUGGAGGUAGAGCACUGUUUGGACGAGGGGCCCCUCUCGGGUUACCGAAUUCAGACAAACUCCGAAUGCCAAUUAAUUUAACUUGGGAGUCAGAACAUGGGUGAUAAGGUCCGUGUUCGAAAGGGAAACAGCCCAGACCACCAGCUAAGGUCCCAAAAUAUAUGUUAAGUGGAAAAGGAUGUGGCGUUGCCCAGACAACUAGGAUGUUGGCUUAGAAGCAGCCAUCAUUUAAAGAGUGCGUAAUAGCUCACUAGUCGAGUGACACUGCGCCGAAAAUGUACCGGGGCUAAACAUAUUACCGAAGCUGUGGAUUGUCCUUUGGACAAUGGUAGGAGAGCGUUCUAAGGGCGUCGAAGCAUGAUCGCAAGGACAUGUGGAGCGCUUAGAAGUGAGAAUGCCGGUGUGAGUAGCGAAAGACGGGUGAGAAUCCCGUCCACCGAUUGACUAAGGUUUCCAGAGGAAGGCUCGUCCGCUCUGGGUUAGUCGGGUCCUAAGCUGAGGCCGACAGGCGUAGGCGAUGGAUAACAGGUUGAUAUUCCUGUACCACCUAGUAUCGUUUUAAUCGAUGGGGGGACGCAGUAGGAUAGGCGAAGCGUGCUGUUGGAGUGCACGUCCAAGCAGUAAGGCUGAGUGUUAGGCAAAUCCGGCACUCAUAAGGCUGAGCUGUGAUGGGGAGAGGAAAUUGUUUCCUCGAGUCGCUGAUUUCACACUGCCGAGAAAAGCCUCUAGAUAGAUAACAGGUGCCCGUACCGCAAACCGACACAGGUAGUCAAGAUGAGAAUUCUAAGGUGAGCGAGCGAACUCUCGUUAAGGAACUCGG